This 401-nucleotide ribosomal RNA is filed under the name uncultured bacterium. Its description in RNAcentral is "bacterial SSU rRNA". It matches the Rfam family "Bacterial small subunit ribosomal RNA", at positions 29 to 414 of the family's 1533-position model. The record is from RNAcentral.
AAUCAACGCUGGCGGCGUGCCUAACACAUGCAAGUCGAACGCGAAAGUCCCGCAAGGGAUCAGUAGAGUGGCAAACGGGUGAGUAACACGUGGGUGACCUGCCUUCGAGUGGGGGAGUAACGUCCCGAAAGGGACGGCUAAUACCGCAUAACGUCCCGCCUUUUAACAGGUGGACAUCAAAGCUGGGGAUCGCAAGACCUAGCGCUUGAAGAGGGGCCCGCGCCUGAUUAGCAGUUGGUGGGGUAAUGGCUCACCAAGGCAACGAUCAGUAUCCGGCCUGAGAGGGCGGACGGACACACUGGGACUGAGACACGGGCCCAGACUCCUACGGGAGGCAGCAGUGGGGAAUUGUUCGCAAUGGGCGCAAGCCUGACGACGCAACGCCGCGUGGAGGAUGAAGA